UACGUAGGGACCGAGCGUUGUCCGGAUUCAUUGGGCGUAAAGAGCUCGUAGGCGGCCACUCAAGUCGAAUGUGAAACCUCGAGGCUUAACCUCGAGCCUGCAUUCGAUACUGGGCGGCUAGAGUCUGGUAGGGGGAUCUGGAAUUCCUGGUGUAGCGGUGAAAUGCGUAGAUAUCAGGAGGAACACCGGUGGCGAAGGCGGCGACCUGGGUCGAGACUGACGCUGAGGCGCGAAAGCGUGGGGAGCAAACAGG
This 253-nucleotide ribosomal RNA is filed under the name uncultured bacterium. RNAcentral's name for it is "partial 16S ribosomal RNA". It matches the Rfam family "Bacterial small subunit ribosomal RNA", at positions 524 to 776 of the family's 1533-position model. The record is from RNAcentral.